Molecule: ribosomal RNA, 519 nt
Filed under: uncultured bacterium
Lineage: Bacteria
Description: bacterial SSU rRNA
Rfam family: Bacterial small subunit ribosomal RNA
Source: RNAcentral
AGAGUUUGAUCCUGGCUCAGGACGAACGCUGGCGGCGUGCCUAAUACAUGCAAGUCGAGCGGGGUUGUCGGAGUGGAGUCCUUCGGGAUGAAGCACCGUCAACCUAGCGGCGGACGGGUGAGUAACGCGUGGGUAACCUGCCCUAAAGCCCGGGAUAACACCGGGAAACUGGUGCUAACACCGGAUACCUUCCGAAGAGGGCAUCCUUUUUGGAAGAAAGGUUAACGCUUUAGGAUGGGCCCGCGUCCCAUUAGCUAGUUGGUGAGGUAACGGCUCACCAAGGCAGUGAUGGGUAGCCGGCCUGAGAGGGUGGACGGCCACACUGGGACUGAGACACGGCCCAGACUCCUACGGGAGGCAGCAGUAGGGAAUAUUGCGCAAUGGGCGAAAGCCUGACGCAGCGACGCCGCGUGGGUGAUGAAGGCCUUCGGGUUGUAAAACCCUGUCCUUGGGGAAGAAGGAAGUGACGGUACCCAAGGAGGAAGCCCCGGCUAACUACGUGCCAGCAGCCGCGGUAAU